GGUUGCAACACCCCCGUGGGUUGGGUGAAGGCUCGGUGAGCUGACACAGUGAAUCCACUGCAGCC
This 65-nucleotide small RNA is filed under the name unclassified sequences. RNAcentral's name for it is "NAD+-I sequence". It matches the Rfam family "nadA riboswitch". The record is from Rfam by way of RNAcentral.